GGGUUUCCGCCCUUCAGUGCCGGAGCUAACGCAUUAAGCACUCCGCCUGGGGAGUACGACCGCAAGGUUGAAACUCAAAGGAAUUGACGGGGGCCCGCACAAGCGGUGGAGCAUGUGGUUUAAUUCGAAGCUACGCGAAGAACCUUACCAGGUCUUGACAUCUUGCGCUAACCUUAGAGAUAAGGCGUUCCCUUCGGGGACGCAAUGACAGGUGGUGCAUGGUCGUCGUCAGCUCGUGUCGUGAGAUGUUGGGUUAAGUCCCGCAACGAGCGCAACCCUUGUUACUAGUUGCCAGCAUUAAGUUGGGCACUCUAGUGAGACUGCCGGUGACAAACCGGAGGAAGGUGGGGACGACGUCAGAUCAUCAUGCCCCUUAUGACCUGGGCUACACACGUGCUACAAUGGACGGUACAACGAGUCGCAAGCUCGCGAGAGUAAGCUAAUCUCUUAAAGCCGUUCUCAGUUCGGACUGUAGGCUGCAACUCGCCUACACGAAGUCGGAAUCGCUAGUAAUCGCGGAUCAGCAUGCCGCGGUGAAUACGUUCCCGGGCCUUGUACACACCGCCCGUCACACCAUGGGAGUUUGUAACGCCCAAAGUCGGUGGCCUAACCA
RNAcentral lists this ribosomal RNA (613 nucleotides) under Limosilactobacillus reuteri. Its description in RNAcentral is "bacterial SSU rRNA". It matches the Rfam family "Bacterial small subunit ribosomal RNA", at positions 828 to 1441 of the family's 1533-position model. Lineage: Bacteria; Bacillati; Bacillota; Bacilli; Lactobacillales; Lactobacillaceae. The record is from RNAcentral.